UACGAAGGGGGCUAGCGUUGCUCGGAAUCACUGGGCGUAAAGGGCGCGUAGGCGGCGGGGUAAGUCUGGUGUGAAAUCUCGGAGCUCAACUCCGAAAUUGCACUGGAUACUGCUCUGCUAGAGGGCUGGAGAGGAGAUCGGAAUUCACGGUGUAGCAGUGAAAUGCGUAGAUAUCGUGAGGAAGACCAGUGGCGAAGGCGGAUCUCUGGACAGCUCCUGACGCUGAGGCGCGAAGGCUAGGGGAGCAAACGGG
RNAcentral lists this ribosomal RNA (253 nucleotides) under uncultured bacterium. RNAcentral's name for it is "partial 16S ribosomal RNA". It matches the Rfam family "Bacterial small subunit ribosomal RNA", at positions 524 to 776 of the family's 1533-position model. The record is from RNAcentral.